CGCGGCAAGAGUUUAAACAGUUUUUUUUCCUUCUAGCCGAUCAUCUGGGACUCGGGAGGCAGCGAAUAGAUUGGGGGCGGGGCCAGGCAGAGGUGAUAUUUACCAGUUCUCCGAACUACUCAAAAUUUCCACUACCGAUUCGCGAGAACCGGUAGCAACCCACCACUGCUCAGAUUCUCCUAACCAACUUGCUCAGAUAGAAGAAGCUGCUUGGAUGAAUGGUGGACUGUCUCAAACCAACAAGAAAAUAAGUCCAGUUGCCAUGACUCAACUUUCAGACAAUUCUACUUGGAUGACUGAGAAUCUUCACUGAAAUAUUUCACUGCAUUUUCUUUUUUAAAAGUUUAAUAGAAAAGUAGCCAUCUUGUUAAGCUGCCAGACAGAAUGGAGUUUCAUGGAGAAAAGGAGGCCCUUCCAUCUGGAUAAGAAUUUCUGUGAUUGACUGCAAACAACUGUACUUUGAUAGAUCAGUUAGCUACAUGUUUGGCUGGUGACUAGAACCUGCCUCCUUGAAUUCUGAACUGGGCAGGACUGAGCAGACUUGGAGAGAGAGGUAGUCUUGAGGGGAGGAAAUUGAAAUGAAAGGACAGGGGAGAGACCUAUACGUCCCACCAACACAGAGGGGAAAAGGGAAGAGACAACAGGACAGGAAAAAGGCAAGAAAGAAAGGA
Non-coding RNA from Pantherophis guttatus, 671 nucleotides. The record is from RefSeq and is a predicted model, not a curated record. Lineage: Eukaryota; Metazoa; Chordata; Lepidosauria; Squamata; Colubridae.